UCACUCAGACCUGUGUUUUACUGAAAGCCUUAUUCCAGUGAUGGUCUUAGAACACAUCCCUGUUGUAAGUUCAUUACCAUAUAUCUCUCUGUAUGGCCAUCAAUUUUAGGAGAGUAGCCUCUUAAGAAAGCAAAAUAUAGUUCACCUCUGCCAAUGGAAUAACAAGGAGAUACAGCAGAGAAAAAGAAAUGUGACAAGGAGCUGAUUUACAAGAUUGCAGAAUCACGGGUCUCGAAUCUUGGAAGAAAAUUAGCAGUCGUCUGGACUGAAUAUGUUCUGCAUGCAAAUGCAGCUUGGUUUUUCCUUUUCAUUUGUUUGGAGAAUUUUAAGAGAUGCCAGUCUUCACUGACAUGAAUUCAUAAGAUCUGGCAGUGAGUGCGCUGCUGCUUCUGCCAAAGAAUAUUGCGUUUUCCCACUUUCCAUUUGGCUGCUGUUGUGCUGGAUGGAGUGCUGCCUCACAGGAGGGGGCAAGGAGCUGCAGCCCGAAGGAUCUGUUUGAGCACUCAGAGACGUUGGCCUUGGCCUGCUCAGAGCCCUGCCACCAUCGUGGAGAGAUUCAGCUAAUGGAGAGCAAGAGAUGAAAGGGAAGAGAUCUCCCGCUGGGAAGACAUGUGAGGGUUCCACUGAGCAACAACUUUGCGGGAAAAUGAAUAAUCAAAAUGCUCCAGAGUCUGCUGUGGUGUCUUACUUCACGCAGCCUCAAGAGAACUUCACGGAACACUUCAUGGAGAAUAAGAGUGAACAAAGAAAAGGAUUUCUUAGGAUCAUUACAGAGUUUUGACCCAGAAGACCACAUUUUGAGAACUUUGCUGAGUGGAACUUGCACGUGGAACUUCUGUUCCCUAAUCACCCAGGUUGUUCUCACUAAGGUCUUUAGCUCCAUAACUGAACAAAAAUAGAGAAAAGCCCGUGCCCUUGUGGGGCUCACAUGCUGAGAAGGAGACAGAUGAUAAAGAAGAAACAUACAGCAUGUGCAAAGGUGGCAAGUGCUGUGGAAAAAGAUGAAUUGGAGCCUGAUGAGAACAUUAAAGCUCCCGGUAUCUGACUGACAUCCUGUCAGAACCCAGGGCCCUGGAACCUUGUCCCCAGCUGAUUACCCUCCAUCUCAAGUCCCAUGAAUUCAGAGAAAAGAGUAGUCUCUUUGAAGACAGGCACCAGGUUUUCUAUAAGACUUGGCUCAUACCUACCAUAGAGUAAGCAUUCAGUGCAUGUUCCCCAAAAUGAGUUGAAUUCAUGAUGAAAUCCAUGUCAGUGAAUAUUCUUAUAAACACGUAGGACAUUUAUAUAGUGAAUAGUCCCUUUUCAUAAUCAGUCUUUCAGUUAUAUUAAUAUUGAUUUCUCACAUUAAAUUCUAUUAAAAACUCUUUGUAGAUGAAGAUUUUAACAUUAAAAAAUAAAAUAUUAUAUAUAACAUAGUGUUUACUCUUAAGAAAAUGAUUGUAUAUAACAUUGAAUAAAAGCAAGCAGAUACUACCCUGUCAGUGCAAAAUUCAAUAUCAUGCGAUGGCCUUAAAAUUAUAUUGUAUAAAAAUAUUGCUUUACUGGUUCCUUAGGAAUUACUAAUGGUCCUGAAAAUAAACUACACGGUUUCUUUACUUUGGCCUCCAUUGUAGGUAUUAAAUGGCAUUUCUGUGAUCACAAUCAUCUUUUUUAGUGAAUAAACUUGUCUGACAUCUUUCCCCUAAAGGGAAAGAGACUCUACCCAUGAGGUUGAAUUUCUUUUUCUCCCCAAAGAAGGAAAAUUGGACAUUCCAAACCACUGCUAUUCCUAUUUCAGCCCGCCCUUCUUUUCCUUUACUGUGCUCUCUGGUCUGCACUGUGCUGACGAGCUCCCCUCUGGAGGAUCCUCCUCGGUGAUUUCAAGAUGAUGACUCCUCCAGGAGUCGAACAAACUGGCAGAAACCCCUAACCAAACAGAUGGUAGACUCAGAUACCUCUGCAGGGCAGAGCACCUGAGGGAUAACGUUGCAGUUUAUAUAUGAUUCAGGAGAAUCAAUUAAAAUGCAUGUAAGUAUAUUCACACAAAUACUUGUACUUUCACGUAGUCUAAGACUUGAGUUGGUCUAGUAAAACGGAGCUUAUUUUCUGCAUGGAGACAUCUAGCCUCUUAAAAUCCAUUCUGAACACAAGUUUGAGCACUACCAGCUUGCAAUUUACUCCUCAAGAAGAGGCACUUUUUAAGCUUAUUGAACCAUAAAAAGCUCGCACAGUGUUUUGGGACUAAAUUAAUUCCUAUUAAUUAGGAAAUGAAAUUGGUAAAUAUCUUUUAAAGGCAAAAAAUAUUUUUUCCUAUUUCAAAUAAUAAACUAUGUUAGGAAUUAUUAAGACUGUGUUUUCAUGUAAGUAUAGAUAAAUCUUACCUCAGUUUCCUCACUCAUAAAAUGGUGUGGAACAAAAUGAGAUCAAAAAGACUACUGAGAACAGAAUGGACUUUGUGUGGCUAACGGGGACCUAAAAUCAAAAUGGAGAGAAGGGGCCAUGACAGGACCAGGAUGCAGUCACUACUCUGUUCUUGGAAAAACGUGGAAAGCACUCUUAAGCUUUUGACUCUGUCAAAGUUCCUGACUUUACAAAACUCCCUAACAGCCACCUGGACCUAACCAAUAAAACCGUGACCUGUGCCAACUUAUCAGGACUAAGCAGCCUUGCAUUACUCAUUUGCAUAAGUGGCCAGGAGUGGGAACCUGGGUGGGAACUUUUUCUUUCAAAAACAGCCCCGGGCCUUUGUUCUUGUGUGGGGCGCUUUCGGUUUCCCACUAGAAGCAAAGUCUCCCUGGUUUGCAAAUUGUAUGAGCAAUAAAGCUUUCCUAACUAAAUUCUUGUAUUCCAGAGAUUUUUGUUGACAUUGGGAUAAUAAUAAAACCUUAUUUGUAAGAUCGUGAGGGUUAAAUGGAUUAAUACUCUUAGCAUUUAGAAUAGCGCCAGGCAAAAUUUAAGCAGCAAUGAAUUUUAGUUGUUAUUCCUGCUUCUCCUCUUCUGUCUUUUAUUGCUAUUACUGAUUAUUAAAGUCUUAAGGAAGUCCAUUGUACAUACUUUAAUUGUUCCACGAUUGAAAGUGAAAAGAGCUUGAAAAUAUGUAGACACAAACACUCACAUACACAUACAUUUAAAAUGGUCUGUUUUUAAUUGACUGGUAACUGGUGAAUUACAGGAGUCAUCCUGUGUUUUCAUAGAUGCUUUUUCUGGAGUAUAUGUCAAUCCCCUGAACUCUAUAAGAAGCCAGCUUCACCAGCAGCACCCCAUGAAAGAAAUAGGUGACACACAGUCCAUUCAACAGCUGCAACAGGGCAGCCCAGGGAACAGCCACCUGCCUUCUUCAGUGGCUUCUAAAUCAGACAGGGUGCCACUGCUGCUAGAAACACCAGGUUCUCUGGAGUAAACUCAAAUUUCCAAAGCCUAUUCUCCUUAAAAAGAUUCAUACAUUCACACACUAAUCCUCUCUCACACACGCACAUUUUCACCCACACAAAAUCUCAUUUGCAUAUACUCAAAGAGAGAGAAUCGGGGACCUGGGACAUCUGUGGACCAGGAGGAGUAUCUACUCCACCUGCUCUUCUUCUUCCUUUCUCUUCAGUCAUCCUUUCCACUCACCUUCCUCAUUAUUUUCAAAGCUCUAAUUUUAUCUUUGGAAGAUAAUAAUCUUAAUAAUUCUGAUAAAAAUAAUUUUUAGUGUGUGAAUAUUCAUCUUGUUGUGUUGCCUUCUUUAUAGGAAAAGUGAGGGAGGGAAGAAUAGGUCAUGGAGAUAGCAACACUUAAACCAAAAAUGAAGAACAGAGUUCAGAUUCUUCAAUGUGGGUAAAUAUGCUGAGAAAAGAGGAGGAGUGUUUACAAGAUCCUUCAUUUCAAACCUUCUGUAUAACCACCUACUUCUGUCUUAUGUAAGAAUGCCUUCAAAUCCAUCGAAAGACUCUAGGGCCAGCCCAUGUGUCUGAGAUGUGCUACUAAGCUUUCCUGGAGGAUGGAGAAACUUCUGGCCCUGAUGUGACAUGAUAUUAAUCCAAAGACUUAGAUUCUGGCAACAUACACCUAAACAGAGGUGAGAGCAUGCACCAUUUACCUAGGUGUCCGUGGCAGGUACAUUUAGCCCCCUUUAUCCCAGGGAGGCUCCCCUUGCCAAUUGGUGCCACAAGUGAAAGCCUCAUGAUAAGGCACGUGAGCUCAGGGGUCUGAGAGAGUAAGAAACACAAGCCCAUGCUCCUUACCACUGCUUUUCUAAUCUCGAUAUAGGCGAUCUUAAUCCUCGUGAUCUGAGAAAUUUCCUACGUUUUUCCUCUCAUUAGGAGCCUGACAGGCCAUGACAACCAUUUGCCCUUUGGCAACCUGCUGCAACCUCAACGAGCUAUCUGGAACACCUGUAGUGCUUUCUAGAGAUCAUGUUUUUUUUCAGUUAUCCCUACUUUGCCCUAUGCAACCCAACAAUCAGGUACUCACACAGAGACUUGCCAAAAGGAAAUCUAGAUAACAGACUCGUCUACAUAAACGUGCUAGAAGACCGCCAAUCCAAAGAAAUUAGAUAGAUAUGGAACGAUCUUCCUUGUUCAAACAAAAGCUAAAUGUUUUCUUCAAUCAUUUUUGAACCAAUGACUUCCUUGUACCUUUAUAAUAAAUGGUCUCUGGUCUAUUUUAAACCAUGGCUUUAGGACACGUUGGUUUGGAGUUACCUUCUGGUUCUUGGAUGCAAUGUUAAUCAUUGUUCUUGAUCUCUUCUUUCAUAUUACUAAAUCUAUUGGGUAUUCAAAGAUCAUGGAGUCAUCCAGAUCAAUAAAACUGAUCAAUGGACAUAAAAAAAAAAAGGUUCCUAGAUUCUUCCUCUGUCCCUAUCUCAUGAGUUGACUCAAAGCUUCUUGACAUUGUGGCUUUUCUCUUUCAUUUUGUUUGGUUAAAGAACUUGCUAAAGGCUUCUCAAGAGGCAAUUCUAGUCUUAUAGGAGCUUGAACCUGAAAGACUCUUUUGGCUUCAUUCUCUGUGUGGUGUUAACCUCAUUCUUUUUUAUCCUUUUUUACUCAUAUCCAUUUCAUCCUUCUCCUGAGAGCUGCUUUUCAUCUUUCUUUCUCUCUUUCCUCUUCUGUCCCUGUGUUGGUAUGAUCAUUUUUGUACAUCAAUGAGUCUUGAGUCAUGCUAUCAAAUGCCACUGGGAGCCCCGUGAUUUCCUUUCCUCUCACUUUUAAGGCUACAUUCUAGGCUUCCCUACAUAUUCCUCUGUGAGGUCUUUAUGAGACCUGUGCUCGCCUGUGAUAGACCUGGUUUAGUAUCUACUCCCACGCCGGACCCAGGUUGUGGGACAUCUUCCAGUAGGAACUAAAAGAGCACAGGGUGCAAGCAGAGCCUGUGAGACCCUGAAACCUUAUUAAGACUCUAAAGGGGGGCAGCACACGCCUGGUGAUAGCAUAGCCUGCUCCUUUGAGACCCUAAGAAGGGCAGCAGGAAAGGCCAGUUUGCUAAUAAUUUCCUUGUGAUUUCUGAGUCUAUUUUCAUUAGUGACAUUAGCCAGUAAUUUUAUUUUCUGGAACUAUAUUUAUCUGGUUUGGGUAUCAAAAUUAUACUUGAUUUUUAGGAUAAUUAGAGAAUAUUCUCUAGUUUUCUAGUGUUUGGAUCUGUUUGUACCCAUGUGGAAUUACUAGGAUCUGGAAAAAAUUUUAA
Molecule: non-coding RNA, 5640 nt
Organism: Equus caballus (horse)
Lineage: Eukaryota; Metazoa; Chordata; Mammalia; Perissodactyla; Equidae
Source: RefSeq, a predicted model, not a curated record